Long non-coding RNA from Hevea brasiliensis (rubber tree), 515 nucleotides. RefSeq lists it as uncharacterized. The record is from RefSeq and is a predicted model, not a curated record. Lineage: Eukaryota; Viridiplantae; Streptophyta; Magnoliopsida; Malpighiales; Euphorbiaceae. The transcript has 2 exons.
CGCUAGAGAUCCUUGUUUGCCGUUUGUUGCAACCAAAGUGUGAAUUAGGUGGGGAAUAUUGGCCAUUGAUUUCUCAAAUCCCUCAAGUAAUGAUGGACUAGAUGAUCUCUAGUUUAUCAUUCAUCCAAACUCUUGAAGUAUUGGAGCAUCAAAUCUCCACAACAGCAGAUUCAAAAAUCUAGAGGCUUGUAAUUGAUUCCACUGUGAGCCCAAUUCCAGGUGAACUAUGAUUUUGUGUUUCGCAAUUGGAAAGUGUUUUUGGUGGACAAAAUCUGUGGUCAAAUGAUCAGUCCUUGGGAGAAGCGACAGCCAUAUUCGCAAUUGGGCUACUAAUGCAGGAUGCAAAAUCCUGGCAAUGACAUUGAUAUCUUUUCACUAGCUGUCUGCUGCAAUCAAGAAGGUAGUAUUGUGAUGCAUUUUAUUCUCUCCCCAUUCCAUUGUAUUUGCUAACACAUGCAUUAUUUUAUGAGAUCAUAAACAUUUAAAAGCAAAUUUGCUUCAUUUUUUCUUGGCAA